CUUGGUGUUACUGCGAAGGGGGGACGGAGAAGGCUAUGUUGGCCGGGCGACGGUUGUCCCGGUUUAAGCGUGUAGGUGUGUGUUCCAGGUAAAUCCGGUUCACUUUAACACUGAGGCGUGAUGACGAGGCACUACGGUGCUGAAGCAACAAAUGCCCUGCUUCCAGGAAAAGCCUCUAAGCAUCAGGUAACAUCAAAUCGUACCCCAAACCGACACAGGUGGUCAGGUAGAGAAUACCAAGGCGCUUGAGAGAACUCGGGUGAAGGAACUAGGCAAAAUGGUGCCGUAACUUCGGGAGAAGGCACGCUGACACGUAGGUGAAGUGAUUUACUCACGGAGCUGAAGUCAGUCGAAGAUACCAGCUGGCUGCAACUGUUUAUUAAAAACACAGCACUGUGCAAACACGAAAGUGGACGUAUACGGUGUGACGCCUGCCCGGUGCCGGAAGGUUAAUUGAUGGGGUCAGCGCAAGCGAAGCUCCUGAUCGAAGCCCCGGUAAACGGCGGCCGUAACUAUAACGGUCCUAAGGUAGCGAAAUUCCUUGUCGGGUAAGUUCCGACCUGCACGAAUGGCGUAAUGAUGGCCAGGCUGUCUCCACCCGAGACUCAGUGAAAUUGAACUCGCUGUGAAGAUGCAGUGUACCCGCGGCAAGACGGAAAGACCCCGUGAACCUUUACUAUAGCUUGACACUGAACAUUGAGCCUUGAUGUGUAGGAUAGGUGGGAGGCUUUGAAGCGUGGACGCCAGUCUGCGUGGAGCCGACCUUGAAAUACCACCCUUUAAUGUUUGAUGUUCUAACGUGGACCCGUAAUCCGGGUUGCGGACAGUGUCUGGUGGGUAGUUUGACUGGGGCGGUCUCCUCCUAAAGAGUAACGGAGGAGCACGAAGGUUGGCUAAUCCUGGUCGGACAUCAGGAGGUUAGUGCAAUGGCAUAAGCCAGCUUGACUGCGAGCGUGACGGCGCGAGCAGGUGCGAAAGCAGGUCAUAGUGAUCCGGUGGUUCUGAAUGGAAGGGCCAUCGCUCAACGGAUAAAAGGUACUCCGGGGAUAACAGGCUGAUACCGCCCAAGAGUUCAUAUCGACGGCGGUGUUUGGCACCUCGAUGUCGGCUCAUCACAUCCUGGGGCUGAAGUAGGUCCCAAGGGUAUGGCUGUUCGCCAUUUAAAGUGGUACGCGAGCUGGGUUUAGAACGUCGUGAGACAGUUCGGUCCCUAUCUGCCGUGGGCGCUGGAGAACUGAGGGGGGCUGCUCCUAGUACGAGAGGACCGGAGUGGACGCAUCACUGGUGUUCGGGUUGUCAUGCCAAUGGCACUGCCCGGUAGCUAAAUGCGGAAGAGAUAAGUGCUGAAAGCAUCUAAGCACGAAACUUGCCCCGAGAUGAGUUCUCCCUGAGACUUUAAGUCUCCUGAAGGAACGUUGAAGACGACGACGUUGAUAGGCCGGGUGUGUAAGCGCAGCGAUGCGUUGAGCUAACCGGUACUAAUGAACCGUGAGGCUUAACC
RNAcentral lists this ribosomal RNA (1501 nucleotides) under Salmonella enterica subsp. enterica serovar Hvittingfoss. Its description in RNAcentral is "bacterial LSU rRNA". It matches the Rfam family "Bacterial large subunit ribosomal RNA", at positions 1443 to 2925 of the family's 2925-position model. Lineage: Bacteria; Pseudomonadati; Pseudomonadota; Gammaproteobacteria; Enterobacterales; Enterobacteriaceae. The record is from RNAcentral.